This 817-nucleotide ribosomal RNA is filed under the name uncultured bacterium. RNAcentral's name for it is "bacterial SSU rRNA". It matches the Rfam family "Bacterial small subunit ribosomal RNA", at positions 563 to 1378 of the family's 1533-position model. The record is from RNAcentral.
AAGCGUGCGCAGGCGGUUUUGUAAGUCAGAUGUGAAAUCCCCGAGCUCAACUUGGGAACUGCGUUUGAAACUACAAGACUAGAAUAUGUCAGAGGGGGGUAGAAUUCCACGUGUAGCAGUGAAAUGCGUAGAGAUGUGGAGGAAUACCAAUGGCGAAGGCAGCCCCCUGGGAUAAUAUUGACGCUCAUGCACGAAAGCGUGGGGAGCAAACAGGAUUAGAUGCCCUGGUAGUCCACGCCCUAAACGAUGUCUACUAGUUGUUGGUGGAGUAAAAUCCAUGAGUAACGCAGCUAACGCGUGAAGUAGACCGCCUGGGGAGUACGGUCGCAAGAUUAAAACUCAAAUGAAUUGACGGGGGCCCGCACAAGCGGUGGAUUAUGUGGAUUAAUUCGAUGCAACGCGAAAAACCUUACCUGGCCUUGACAUGUAACGAACUUUCCAGAGAUGGAUUGGUGCUCGAAAGAGAGCGUUAACACAGGUGCUGCAUGGCUGUCGUCAGCUCGUGUCGUGAGAUGUUGGGUUAAGUCCCGCAACGAGCGCAACCCUUGCCAUUAAUUGCCAUCAUUUAGUUGGGCACUUUAAUGGGACUGCCGGUGACAAACCGGAGGAAGGUGGGGAUGACGUCAAGUCCUCAUGGCCCUUAUGGCCAGGGCUUCACACGUAAUACAAUGGUCGGUACAGAGGGUUGCCAAGCCGCGAGGUGGAGCCAAUCCCAGAAAGCCGAUCGUAGUCCGGAUUGUAGUCUGCAACUCGACUACAUGAAGUCGGAAUCGCUAGUAAUCGCGGAUCAGCAUGUCGCGGUGAAUACGUUCCCGGG